Nothobranchius furzeri (turquoise killifish) is the source of this 1213-nucleotide non-coding RNA. NCBI's taxonomy places the organism in Eukaryota, Metazoa, Chordata, Actinopteri, Cyprinodontiformes, Nothobranchiidae. The record is from RefSeq and is a predicted model, not a curated record.
GUAGAAUAACUUUAAAAAUGUUUGAUUUUGACCAUCUGACCCAAUUUUAUUAAAAAAAGUAAAUAAUCUUUAAUAUUUCAAUUUUCUCCUAAGUGCCUCCCCUGCCCUGUAGAGCUCAGCCAAUAUUUCUGCAAGCCUAACGCGUUGACCAAUAGCGCUGCGUUUCCACCAGGGGGCAGCUGUCAAUCAUCGAGCACAAGCAGGUCUCAGCGUGCAUAAGAGUGUCACGCGCCUCACUCGGCUUACUGCAGAAACAUGGAGCAACAAAACCCCAAAUUACCGAUUCCUCGACUGCCUUCCACAUCUCAAAAAACAUUUAAAAAGUUUAAAAGCCCUUCAAAAGUGGCUGUAAGACGUUUAAGACAGUCGAGUAGAAUUUACAUUGGAGAUUGUUUUACACACCAUGGAGAGAUUUUCGUGAUCUACACGGCCUGAAAACGGAUGAAGAGUUGGCAAAGUAUCUUUUAGACAGUCAUCAGUCCAAAUAUGAAGCAUCAACAUCUACACCAUUGAAGCGCCAACUGUGUAUUUCUCCAACACCAGUGCCAGCUCUGUCUAGCAUUCAUGGAGAGUCAUCUGAAAGGGAUGAUAAUUUGGAGGAGGUGAUGGAACAAGGUGAAACUAAAAAAGAAGGAUCUUCACAAAUGUUAUCUUGUGUGGGAAUUGAAGCAAACAUUGACGAGGAAGAGUUCAACAAUAUUCAAAACUCUGUGAUAGUCAUCAGAUGACACAUGGUCACCAAACAGAGAACCAGAAGUUGAUUCGUCUUCAGAGGAGGACGAAACCAUCGAGAUGGACAGCGGUACUGAUGACAGCAGUGAUGAGGACUACACACCUUAUAUACACAUAAGGACUGGAGCAGCAUUACAAAAAAUAUUACAACUUGAGACUCUGCAAGAAAUUAACAGAGGAUACAGUUCAUGACUGUAAUAUCCCAGAAGCAACUGACCGACGUUUGACAAGCAAGAAAGGUCUUCCUCGACGCUACGAGCUAAGGGCUGAGGAUCCAAGGCGUUAUGGUUUGCUGUCCGGAGUUCCUGCACCAUCAACAGAGGAACUUCUACAACACCUACGGACUUGUGGUGAUGGUAAAACUUUGCCACAGACAUAGGUGUUGGGGGAGGCAAGAGAAAACCCAAAACCUUCUUUAUUUUUGUUUCCUGUGUUUUUUUUUUUUUUGAAAAUAAAGAUAUAUUUUGGGGAAAUAAGGACU